RNAcentral lists this ribosomal RNA (306 nucleotides) under uncultured Glomeromycotina. RNAcentral describes it as "SSU rRNA". It matches the Rfam family "Eukaryotic small subunit ribosomal RNA", at positions 569 to 880 of the family's 1831-position model. The record is from RNAcentral. Lineage: Eukaryota; Fungi; Glomeromycota.
AGCAGCCGCGGUAAUUCCAGCUCCAAUAGCGUAUAUUAAAGUUGUUGCAGUUAAAAAGCUCGUAGUUGAAUUUCGGGGUCAGUAGGCUGGUCAUGCCACAGGUAUGCACUGGUCUCACUGAUUCCUCCUUCCUGAUGAACCGUAAUGCCAUUAAUUUGGUGUUGCGGGGAAUCUGGACUGUUACUUUGAAAAAUUAGAGUGUUUAAAGCAGGCUAACGCUUGAAUACAUUAGCAUGGAAUAAUGAAAUAGGACGUUCGAUCCUAUUUUGUUGGUUUCUAGGAUUGACGUAAUGAUUAAUAGGGAUA